RNAcentral lists this unclassified non-coding RNA (400 nucleotides) under uncultured fungus. RNAcentral describes it as "sequence contains ITS1". The stretch from base 1 to 105 matches the Rfam family "5.8S ribosomal RNA", at positions 50 to 154 of the family's 154-position model. Lineage: Eukaryota; Fungi. The record is from RNAcentral.
AAACUGCGAUAAGUAGCGUGAAUUGCAGACGCUUUGAACGUUAAACUUUCGAACGCACAUUGCGCCAUCGGAGUCCUACCCGAUGGCACAUCUGGUUGAGGGUCGUGAUCAAGAAAACAGCUAGUCAAGGGCUGAAGUAGAACGAAGUGGUGAAUCAUGAAGCCGGCGUACGCCAAGCGCAUGGCCGUGUUUUGCCAUCAUGUUAAAAGAGGUUGCAUCGUAGCAACUUGCCACACGGACGGGCUUUCCAGCUGGGCUGGGCGUCCCGCCACUGGGUAUCGUGAGCAUAUCUAUAUACUCAGAGGUUUGCGGACGGCGGCUGGGCAUGCCUCGUACGUGAUUGGCGUGCACAGGGCUCUGCCCUCGGAUUCCCGACCUCAACUCAGGUGUGAUUACCCGC